Molecule: small nuclear RNA, 106 nt
Organism: Nannospalax galili (Upper Galilee mountains blind mole rat)
Lineage: Eukaryota; Metazoa; Chordata; Mammalia; Rodentia; Spalacidae
Source: Ensembl
UGCUCACUUUAGAGGUCCAGAUACUAAAAUUGGAAUGAUACAGAGAGGAUUAGCAUGGCCCCCAUACAAGGAUGACAUGCAAAAUCACGAAGCAUUCCAUAUUGAA